Molecule: transfer RNA, 80 nt
Filed under: Caulobacterales bacterium
Lineage: Bacteria; Pseudomonadati; Pseudomonadota; Alphaproteobacteria; Caulobacterales
Description: tRNA-Val
Source: RNAcentral
CAGCGUUUUCAAAGGAACCGGGGAAGGCCGUCUCGUUUACACCGAGAGGGUCGGGGGUUCGAUCCCCUCACCGCCCACCA